UUCCCCCCCGCCCCCCCGUUCCGAUGGUUCCCACCUGCUGCCGGGUCAGCCCAGCGGAGCCGCUCCUGGAGCCCCGGGCCCGGGGGGGGGGAGCCCUGGGCAGGCUUCCCUCCCCCCCAGCCACGCUGGGUCUGACCCGUGCCCCGGCUGCCCACAGGCCCCCCCUCCUCUCCUCCACUGCCCGCUUCGGGCAGUCACAGGCUAGGGAUCCCCGGAACGUGGGGCCCUGACCCCUUGGCUAGGGGCCAUCGAUGGGCCAAUGGGCCAGGAACGUGCUGCGUUCAGAACGCCCCUGCCCUGCGUGAAGCCAGACCGGGCUGCCUGGGCCUGUCAUCUGGUGACCCUUGUGUCUGUGUUGUGAAUGGGUAAAUAACACGUCCCUGUUCCCGUUCUCCACAGCAGUUGUAUUUGUGUGGUGAGGAACACGUGUAAUCACUCAUAGACAGGGGCAGCAAUGAACUCUUUUUUGUUUUAACCAGGAACAGGAAAACUACAGACAACUGCCUUCUAGCAAGGAGGAAGCUGAACUGAACCUCAAGAAAAUCCGUGUCUCUCUAAAUAACAAUUUAUGGGUACAAACAGAAGCAUUCCAGUGAACUAGGGGCACCAGAACAGGGGAGGUCAGCCAUGAGCGGAUGGGGCAACCAGAACUGCAUGCAGUGUUCAAGAUGAACAAUGCUGAACCAUACAGUUUACCAACACCCCUACCGGAGCGACCUUGGAAGAGACUAGCUGCAGAUUUAUGCAGAUUCAGAAGACAUCAUUACCUGGUCAUCAUGAGCUAUUUUUCCAGGCACCAGUACCAGAUGCUUUAAGGGGAAUGAACAGAACAGGGCAAUUAUCAAGUGAUCUAUUCCCUGCUGUCCAUUCCCAGCAUCUGGCAGUCAGAGGCGUAGGGACACUAGGAGCCACCAUUAUCCGCUAGUGAUGGAGAGGCUGAAAGAGCUGUACAGACAGCCAAGAAAACCCUACAGCAGCAAGAUCCAUUCCUUGUUCUUCUGAGCUACAGAUCAACACCAGUAGCAGCGACUAGAUACAGUCCAGCACAACUCCUGUUGGAGAGACAACUCAGAACUACUGUUCCAACUUAGAUUUUUUUUUUCCAAUCUCCAAGGUGGCCAGACAUGAAGAGAGUAGCUAAAUCAGAUACAAAGGCAAAAAGAUGUUAUGAACAUUUUUACAACAGACAUGACUCAGACAACUGCCAGCUCUAGAACUUGGAAACCAUGUUCAUGUCAAAUUGGAUGGAGAAAAAGGAUGGAUAAACUCCUAAAGACAAAGAAUUCAGCACCCAGAUCAUAUGUAACUGAGGCUGACAGUGGAGAGUUCAACAGAAACCAUCGACAUUUACAGUGUAUUCCUCAGAAAGAAUAAUCAAGAGAGCAAACUCUACAGAUGGUAGGUGCAGAACAAGAUGACUCGGAUUCCAAACCAGCUACAGCCAGUCGUUGCAACUAAUGGACAGCCAGAUGAACAAGUUGUUACAUGUUCAGGUCAUGUAAUUAGAAACCAGUAUGAUUCAGAGACAGUCAACAGACUGAUACAUAUUGAAUUUCAAAGAUAGUGAAAGUGUAAAUAUUGUAAGUGGUAGGAAUGUAGAAUUUAUAGGUGAUGUAAUGCAGUGCUAAAUUUAUUGUACUGUUCAGCCAGUAGGUGGCACUGUGUGUAACAUACAUACCUGAAGAAGUGAGGUUUUUUACCCACGAAAGCUUAUGCCCAAAUAAAUCUGUUAGUCUUUAAGGUG
Molecule: long non-coding RNA, 1744 nt
Organism: Mauremys mutica (yellowpond turtle)
Lineage: Eukaryota; Metazoa; Chordata; Testudines; Geoemydidae
Exons: 3
Source: RefSeq, a predicted model, not a curated record